This 328-nucleotide ribosomal RNA is filed under the name uncultured eukaryote. Its description in RNAcentral is "bacterial SSU rRNA". It matches the Rfam family "Eukaryotic small subunit ribosomal RNA", at positions 619 to 945 of the family's 1831-position model. The record is from RNAcentral.
UUAAAAAGCUCGUAGUUGGAUUUCUGGUCGGAGCGACCGGUCGGCGUCCUUUGUGGCGUGUGCACUGUUAUCGGCUCCGUCCAUCCUAGUGGGAAGGCGCGUUGGCAUUCAUUUGUCGGCGCGUGGCCCCGCUACGUUUACUGUGAAAAAAUUAGAGUGUUUAAAGCAGGCGUUCGCUGUGAAUACAUUAGCAUGGAAUAAUGAGAUAGGACUUUGGUACUAUUUUGUUGGUUUGCGCACCAAGGUAAUGAUUAAUAGGGAUAGUUGGGGGUAUUCAUAUUCAAUUGUCAGAGGUGAAAUUCUUGGAUUUAUGGAAGAUGAACUUAUG